This is a non-coding RNA of Gasterosteus aculeatus aculeatus (three-spined stickleback), 173 nucleotides long. The record is from RefSeq and is a predicted model, not a curated record. NCBI's taxonomy places the organism in Eukaryota, Metazoa, Chordata, Actinopteri, Perciformes, Gasterosteidae.
AUGGUGACAGCCAUCGUGUUGCACAGUGUCUUCUUCCUCUCAGGUGCUUCUGAUGAUUGUUAUAAGACCAGACAUCUAUUCAUCACUGCACCAAAAGAGAUGGAAGCACUGACUGGAUCUUGUUUGCAAAUUCCAUGUAACUUCAGCGUGAAAUCAGGAGAGAAAAUCAACAG